CAAGCCUUGAGUGAGGAAAAGGGUUCAGAUGAAUUUCUCUGAAGGAAGUGAGAGGCAUCUUCUGCCUGACCUCACAGAAAGUGUGGUGGCAAAAGGCCAGCAUGUUGGUUUUCUCAAUGCUGGCCUAAGAACCUGCAAAAGAAGUAUACAACCUGGCAGUGUAUACCAACAAUUUGAAGAUACAAUCUUUUUGUCAAGUCACAGUAUCAGAGGCACGGACCCAGCCAAUCCUAUCGCACGACGAGGCCCCGCCCCCCGAAGCGGCAGGAGGCGGCAGCCAAUGGGGCGGGGCAGCGGAGGGGCGCGUGAAGCUGUGGGGAUCGCUCCCGGGGGUCGGUUGGCGGCGGC
Long non-coding RNA from Pezoporus flaviventris, 348 nucleotides. RefSeq lists it as uncharacterized. The transcript has 3 exons. NCBI's taxonomy places the organism in Eukaryota, Metazoa, Chordata, Aves, Psittaciformes, Psittacidae. The record is from RefSeq and is a predicted model, not a curated record.